CUUGCCUUUAAUGCAAUUAAAGAAAAAAAAGUUUAUUUGUAAAAAACAAGAAUUGUGUUCUCUGCGGCAUUGCUAGGUAUAAGAAACACUUAGGGCUUGAGCCCGAAUGAAACAAAGACGUGAGGAUAUGUCAUGGCAGUUCCCCACCUUUCUAUAUUUGGUCCACUCUUCUUUUAUUUAUUUUUUUGUAUUUUUGCUAUGCAUAAUGACAUUACAAACACGCUUGAG
This is a non-coding RNA of Pelobates cultripes (western spadefoot toad), 228 nucleotides long. NCBI's taxonomy places the organism in Eukaryota, Metazoa, Chordata, Amphibia, Anura, Pelobatidae. The record is from the annotation of a GenBank genome assembly.